Pteropus alecto (black flying fox) is the source of this 16996-nucleotide long non-coding RNA. RefSeq lists it as uncharacterized. The record is from RefSeq and is a predicted model, not a curated record. The transcript is spliced from 2 exons. Lineage: Eukaryota; Metazoa; Chordata; Mammalia; Chiroptera; Pteropodidae.
CCUCUAUCCUGCCAGUGAAGGCCAUAUUAAAUAUGAAUUAAUGUUUCAGCUCAGUUCUCAUGAAUACAAAUGAGAAGGGUGUGUGGACCCAAGAGAGCAAGGAAAGACACCCAGUCUGCUUCCCACACCUGCCUGGACCUGAAAACACACGCUCACACCCUGACACACAUGCAUAGUCACACAGAGCCACUCGCUUUCACACCCUCCCUCACAGCUGGUGCCUAAGGCUAGGACAGCACUCACAGGACAGCCCCCUCGAGGGACCUCACCAUCUCCCCGAGCUCCCCAUCUUUCCAGCCUCCAUUCCCCAGCUCCCUACCCCGACUCCCCCUGCUCUGAGCUGGGACCCCUUCCAGGCAGAGGCCUCUCUAGGCUCAGCCCUGGACCUGCCAACUCUCCCGCUGCUGCCUGCACACCCCUGCCCGCCCCUCCACUCCCUCUGAACUUGACUCCGCCUCCCCUUCCCAGUUUCUUCCUCUUCCCCGCUCUCUCCUUUUGUCUCUCCCUCCCCUCCUCCCUCUGUGUUCUCUUUCCUUUUCAUGUCUCUUGGUGUCUCUACCUUGAUCUGGCCUCUGGUCUCAUUCCCGUCUGACUGCCCUUCAUCCUGUGCUGUCUGACUGUCGUCUGACCGUCUGCCCUCUCGGAACCUCCAUCCACCUGCCCCCUCUGUGUCCCUCUCUCCCAGAAUGUCUCCAGCUCUCUUUCUCUCUCUCUCUCCCCACUACCCCUUAUCCUUGCCCUUCCCCACAUUCUUCCUUCAGGUCCUUGGCGAGUUGUGGGCUCCUCAGCCCAGACACUCAGGAGUCCAAAAGCAGCUCCCACCUUCUCUCUCAGGGGGCAAGGAUGCACACCAGGGCAGCCGCCUCAGUCUCCUCACCGGCCAACCAGUGGACUCGUCCACCAGGCUGAGACACUCUCCUUGUUGCCAGUUUAAUUGCUAUACACACUUGUACUGAGCAGCCCCGUCCCCACAUGGAGCCCGGGUGAGGCCUGGGUUGAAGCCAGCAAAGCUCUGGAUCCACACAGCCCUGGUUCAGGUGCCCUCCACGCCAUGAGCAUGCACCUCCACCUCUGAGUCUCCAUUUCCUCAUCUGUAAAAUGGGGACAGGAGAGUUGGCCUGAAAGGGCUGUGUUAGGUUCAGGUGAGCUAAAGCGGGCAGAGUGCCCGAUGUUCUGUCUGACACACAGUCAGUGCCUAGGGGUGGAUGUGGGUGACAGAAGAUGUGGGCUCUGACCUCAGAGGACCCACAGCCCAGUGGAAGGCCGAUGACUGCGAGUAUCCACUCCCUCGGGCUCUGGGGAGCUAUAGAGCCAUGAUCAGAGCCUUUUGGCCACAGAAGUCAGUACAUGAGGGCAGACUGAGGUGCCAGGGGUCAGGAGUCAUGGGGAAGAGGUCGGCCUCGGGAGGCUUUGGAGGGCCUCCGUCCUCCAGCAAUGCUGGGGCUAGGCCUCAGCGGGAGCCAUAGCUGGGGAUUCGGCCUAAGGCCUGGUCAGCUUACAGUUUGUCAAUCUAGGAGAUCUUAAGCACUUGUGGUCUGCCCCUCUCCCUUCCGCCAGGGCUAGAGUCAUGCAGGUUUGGAUUGGCAUCCCCAGCAGGUAUGGGAUGAGCCACCCUGCCUCCUCCAGAGUCCACAUCAUCCACCUGUCAUCUCUGUCCCACGCUGGCCAUAGGGGGCCUGACUUGUUCCGAAUGAACGGACUUCAGAAUAUGGGUUCUGAAGGGCCAGAGUGGUCCUCUGGUGUGGCAUUACCCCAUUUCUGUGUCCUAGAGCCACACCCAUCAUCUCUGAGCCUCUGUUUCCUCAUCAGAGCCUUUGAAUAGAUUACACGAGGGGCUGCAGCCCAGAGUGGGCAUUGGGGGGCUGCAGAUGUGUCUGAGGAUCUGGGAGGCUGAGCCUGGUGAGAGAGAAGACAAAAGAAUGGAGUGAGCUGAAGAAGCUGCCGGGUGGGAGGCUGGGCCCAUUUGUAUGCGGCAGGAGCAGGAGCCCAGCAAGGCGGCUCUUCAGAGGAGUCUUAAUUCCCAGGGCAUUGGAGGGAGCACUGCCAUGUCCAUGCCUGCGGAGCUCUCCCCAACACACCACCCUGCCCAGCCCUAACUGUACAGGUGGAAACCAAUGCUGAGAAGCCACCCAACAAGUGAAUGGCAGAGCUGGGACUAGAACCCUAGACCAAUGUUCUUCCCAUCAUUCGAGUGCCUCUGGGGACCCCAACCAAGUGCUGAAUUUGGUAAACAAAGGCACGAAUCAUGAGCGUUGAUGUGUAUAAAGUGCACUAGGCAAACAUUUUAUGAUACCUCAGUAAUCCUCACACAACCUGCAAAGCGUAUGCCGUUUUGAUCAUCCCCCUUUAGAGAUGGGAAAAGUGAGGCACAGAGAGGUGUCAUACAGCUAGUAAGAGGCAGAGCCAGGGUUCAAACCCAGGCCAGCUGUUGCCAGUCUGUGCUCACACUGUACCACGCAGCCUCUUAGAAUUCGAAAUCCUUGAAACUCGGUGGCUGUUACAUCUCUGUUCCUCCUAUUCUGAGCACGGGCCAGGCACAUAGCAAGUGCUCAGCAAUGCUUGCUGAGUGAGUGAACGAAUGAGAGAGAGGGGGGCUCCUCCAGAGGACAUCUUCCCAGACCCCGGGAGUCCAGCUCUCUCAGCAUGGUCCUACUGCUUGUUCUUGGCCCCCAUCGCCACCCCCACAGGCAGGUGUUGGCCGUGCCCUCCAAGGGGCCAGGCCCCACAGGGACAAAGCCAGGGCCUCGCCUGGGCGGCGCAGCCCCAGCACAGGCUGAAGCUGCUAACAGGCUGGAAAUCUCUUUUGUCAAAGCCUGCGCUGCCUUCAACCUCCUUUAAUUAAAGACAAUUAGUGCUUUCAGCCCCUCUGCACAGCUCAGCUCCCCUGUUUGCAAACACACAGCUGCGGGAGCUUUGUGGGCCCCCCCUCGCCGCCGCCCCAGCCCCGCUUCCCCAGAGACACACAGAGGUGCCUUUAUUAUCGGCACUCAGGCUGCAACACCAAGAGGUGGGCGCCUCUGCUGAAGGGAAGGAAGUAUGGGAGCACUUCCCAGCAAGGCAGGGAAGCGGAGAGAGCUCAGGACCCUGGGGUGGCCUGGCACAUGUCAGCCAUGGGUCUCACUCUUCAUGGAACAGCCUGUGGGCACCAAGUCCAGCUGGGGCAGCUUAGGGAGACGUGCCACCUUCCUUUCUUCCUUUCUGUCUUGGUUCUCUGAACCCUGCUUUGAAUUCGAGCUGCCCAUGUGUUUUCUUUCAGGACCUGAUGCCUGAUCUGGGCACUGCAGGGCUCUGAGUGCUACCUUAGGAAGGAAGGAAAGGGGAGAAAUGGCUUUUACCGACCACAUGCUGUGUGCUAGGACUCUCUCUCUGUGCAGCAUGAUUCUGAGGUUUCCCCAUUUUAUAGACAGAUACUAAGGCUCAGAAUGGCUCAGUAACUUGGACAAGCACGGCUAGGAAGUAGCAGAGCCGGCAUACAAGACCAGGCCUUCUGACCUUAGCAUACUAGUUGGAUCUAAGCAUCCUAGGAGCCUAACCUCUUAGAGGUCAGAAGGUUACCUUGUCUAGCUCCCAGCCUGCCUCAGCCCCUAUGGACUGAGUCUGUGCCAUGGGCCAGGCAAUCUCUGGCACCUCUGGGUAGUGACAAGGACACGGACACAGUCGUGCUCUCCAGGAGCUCCUAGACGGAGGGAAGAUACCUCAGACAGACCUGUGCACAAUGGCAGUGCCCUGCCAUAGCAGAAGGCACUACACAUUUCUCUGGCAGCACAGAGGUGGGAGUUACUGCAGAGAGAGGCAGGCACAUUUGAACUAGUACUUAGUGAUGAAUAGUUAUUCUCACAAAAGAGGACAAUGGGCAGGUGCAUUCUAGGCAAAGGCCAGGGGUAUAAAAGAAAAGCAAAUUUCAAGAAACUUAAGCAGUUCAGGCAGGAAAGGGGUCAUUGUACCCAUCACAGAUAUGGGGACAGAGGCCCAGGUGGGCUGAGAGGCUAUCUAAGGUCCCACAACAAGCAGUGCUGAAAAGAGCCUGGCUGGCCUCUGAAAGCAGUACUGCACCCACCUCCCCUUCUCAGCACAGCUCUAAAGUGGCAUCGCUUUUGUGACUAGUUGAUGAGAGUCUUUCCCAUUGGACUUGACCAAUGGGAAGCUGUAUCUGUUUUUUGCUCACUUUUAUAUCCUGGGGCCUAGCCCCAUCUUGGCACGGAGGAGGAGCUCAAUAAAGAUCUGCUGAGUAAAUGAAAUGUCCCAAUGAAGGCAUGAGAUGGGCCUUCUGGCUGCCACUCUCCCUUCCUGGGCCCAGACAGACAUCACUAAUCCAUCACCGCACUCUCCAGCCAGUCCAGAAGGACUGCCGGCAGACUGCUUAGAGCUGAUGUGUGUGGUGAAAUUUAUGUCACUGCAGAGUCAAGUCCAGACUGACACUUUGCAGGUGAGAACUUCCAAGUAGGAUGCUUCCAAAUGGGGAGGAAGGGAACGAUGAUGAUAAUGGCUUAACGUUUACUGUGAUUUCCACGUAUUAGGCACAGUUCUAAGCUCUUAACAUAUAUUUAAUUCCCUAUCACCCCUAUGACAUGGGUAGUAUUCUUCCUCUCAUCUCACAGAAGGAGAAGCAGAGGCACACACAUCACUAACUUGCAGGGCCAGGAUUCAAAACCAAGGAGCCUCGUUCCAGAGUCAUGCUCUCAACUGCUACACAUCACUGCUCCUCUAUUGGUGUGGGACCUCCUGGCCCCCAGGGCUGGCCACCCCAAGGGCUGAUGUGCAUCCAGCCUUGCUAUGAGGCCCUGGCUUCCUCCCCACCAAUGGAGACCCAAAAGUUAGAGUUAGAGCUGACAGGGACAGGCUGGGCCUGGGAUCCAUCUGCCUUUCGGCAGCUCCGGGCCCACUUCCUCCAGCCUGGACAGCUUCCCAGUGGUGCCUCUGCAGGCCCUUUCAAGUCCCCUGGCACCCCCAGCCCCACUUCCUGCGACCCCUGGCCCCGGCCUGACCCGCUCCACUCAAUUUCCCAAGAUGAGUUGCAGAAGCUGCCGGGUCUGUGUGCAGAAACGGGAAAAUUAACGAGCUGCUCCCUGGCAAUUGGCGGUUUCCAGGCACCAGCUGGCCUGGAGUAUUUACUCGGCACCCUCGGAGCAAGACAAUUAAGUGGAGCUUAGGCCGGGGUGCAGAGAUGUCUACAGAUCAGACGGAAACCCUCCUAAGGUGUUUUUCCAAGGGAUCAGUGCCUGAGAACAAGUUUUCAGGGAACGGGAGAAUUUAUUCAUUCUUAAUCAUAUAUGACAUAUUAAUACAUAUAAUAUAUAUUAUAUAUAUAUUCAUUUAUUUAGCAUUUACUAUGUGCCAGGCUCCUUACUUGAGUUAUCUUGUUGAAUCCUCACCUUUUCUCUGCAAGGUGUCCAUAGUUACUCUUAUUUUAUAGAUGAGAAGACUGAGGCCCAGCAAGGUUAGAGACGUCUCUCAGGUAACACAGGGGAGCUGGGAUUUACAUGCCGGUCUAUCUGACUCCAAGCUUCUGCUUCUUGUCAUUGAACAAGUUUCCUUCCCGGCCUUUGAGCAUAUAUAGCACUGUGUUAGGCACCAAGGAUGAGCCAGUAGCAAGAGAAGACCCGGGGUGCGCUGUGCACCUACUCUGCGCCAGGCACAGAAAAGAGCAAGAGUAUGAGAUCCCUUCCCUGCCCUGAGAAGUUCAGUGUUAGAGGUAUAUGCUGUACGAGACAUUGAGCCCAGGAAGGUCUGACCGGUUCAAAUCGGUCCUGAAGAUGGGGCAGGACUUCACUGAGGAAACAAACCUUGUUUGGGGCUUUGAAGGCUGAAUAGGAAUCUGCCAGAUAAAGAUGGGUCAAGGAGUAUUCCAGGGGGAGAAUUCAGCAUAAACACUGCAGUGCUGUAGGUGCUAGGGAAGUAGCCCAGAGUUUAGUGUGAUGUUUGGUGAGAUCGUUGGGGUGGGGUAGGAGACGCAGAGCGGAUGGUUAGGACAGAUGGAAAAGGACCUCGAAGGCCUGGUUAAGCAGGUUGGACUGGGUUACUCUUGUGCCGGAGACCUGGGCACCAGCCAAAAAGAGGAGGCAUAGGAGAUGGGAGCGGGAGCCCGGAUGCUGCCAACACCAUUCUAUGGCAGGAAACCGCCCAGCUCAGUAGGGGUCCCCGGUCCUCUGGCGUUGUCUCCUGCUCCCUGGCCUCAUGGUGGUGAGGGGGAAAGAGGGAGUAAGCUGGUUGCUCAGCCUCUGAGUCACCUUUUCCUUGCUGUCUUCCAUGUGCUUCAAAUCCAUCUGUCUUCCCCCACCUCCCAAAUAAGGUCAUUUUACUAAUUCACUCUGUGACCUGGGGCAAGUCUCUUCUCUACCCUUAGGCUCUACCCAAAAGUUAAAGAAGGAACCAAACCAGAGGCCCUUAACCUCUGCCUCCCAAAGUUCUCUGAGAAAAUGAGGAGAAAAGCUCUGCCUCUCGGGAGUUUCCCAGUGGGUGGGAUGGGGGCAGGGAGUUCGAGGACUUCCUGUGACAACCAACUCCAACAGAGCUGUCAAGGCAGAAAGUUUAUCUUCUAACCUCUCUGCUUCCCCAUCCCCCCGCCCCCCACCAUCCAGGCCCCAUCUUACUCCUCAUCACCUACUCGUCCUUGAGGUGUCACUUAGUCCCUGUCAUCCCACCCCCAAGGCUGGAAAAGCUCAAAUGGGGAACUUUCAGACAUCCUGACCUACCAAAUAGGGUAUAUAUUUAUGCAGGGGUCCUGGCAACCCCCAAUUCCCCUCCCCAAUUCCACCCAACUCACUGACAGCCCCUAAGUGGCCUCUUAUUAAAAUGUCCUGUUCUCUGCCUUUGAGGGUAAGGUGACAAGGGCCUAAACUGGGUUGUCGGAAGAAACAAACAGGGUCUGGUCUCAGCUUGACAGUCCACUUGCUGUGUGACUCAGAGUGAGUUCCUUGCCGUCUCUGAACCUCUAUUUUCUCAUCUGUACAAUGAGGGGGGUUGGAUAGGUGAAUGGUUCUUAGCUCCAUGUUGGUCUGAGGAAGAGCCCAGCCAUCCUGUGCUUUGAGCACUGCUGAUACAGGAGAUCCCCGAGGGCCAAGUUCAGCUCCAACACUUGUGAACUUUGCUUCUCCUUUGACCCGGGUUUGACCCCUCAUGCCCUGGCGAUCAGGACCACAGAGCCCUUCAGCAUCAGCCCCAUCAGCCCGCCACACUUGGGAUGUUCAGACCAGAAUGUCACCUUUUCCCCUCACUUUCACUGUCAAUGUGGCUUUUCCUGAGCCAGUCCAUCCUCGUGGGUGGCCUGGGUGAGAUAAGGGGCUAAAAAUAACCCUGCCUGGGCACUGGGGACAGAGGGCAAAAACUGUGUACAGGAGGCCAAGGGGAAUGAGCCUGCAGAGUCAGACUGGACCUUAAAUCUCAGCCCCUGCCCCGCUUAUCUGUGUGGUCCUGGACAAGUCAGUUCACCUCUGGGCCCUGGAUAUUUGUGAAAUGCAGGCAUGGCACCAACCUCUCCCAACAUUGGGAGGAAAGUGAAAUAUUAGAGAAUUUAGGCACCACCAGUCAGUGUCAUCUUGCCCCAGAAGUCCUUCCUGGCUUGGGAGAGAAGAUUUCGAAGCUACAGUCUUGUGGGGGUCAGGGUGGGAGGUGCCCAGAGCCUCUUGGGGGCCCCCGGCCCACCUGGGGAUUUUCCGAUCAGUUUCUACUUGUAGUGGGCAGCAGUGAUGUCGGUGAAAUCAUGGAACACGUUUUGUAAGAAAAUUCAUAAGGAACGGAUGGAGAUGGAAAUUAUGAGCCCUUGGAAACCAGAGGGAGAAGGGGUUGUGAGGUUGGUGCUCAGAGGUGCCAGACCCACCCGAUUGAGUCGGGGGUGGCGGUCUUUCAGAAUGAAAGAAGUUGGGAGCAGGGGCUGUAGAGAAUGCGAUGGUGUUGCCAGUGAAAGCAGUAGGACUGUCCAGGCCCAGCCAGCGAAGGAGAGGGAUGUGGCACCAAAGUAAGAAGAACGUUCCACGUUGCUAGUCGCUGGCCUCAGCUUCUCUGACCCUUAGUGUCCUCACCUGUGAACAGGUGUGCAACAAUUGUGAGGAUUAAAGGAGGCCUAGGGCCAAGCCUGGCGUUGCAGGGCUCCACGAACAGUAGCAUCUUCAUCAGGGGUGGGAAUGAAAAGUUGCUGCUCACCCCAUCUGAGAUUCUGCCAGCACCCUGUACCCAGCAGGAGUUGGGUGAGUGUUGGCAGAAUGGCCAGAUUGAUGCAUUGUUAGAUGGAUGGACAGAAAAAGAGAUGAAUGACUACAGGCUAUACUCCCUGGGCACAGGCACUUAAAUCUGCGUUUUAUGUUUUUCUUCUAUUAUCCACAAGCCCCUAGCCAGCAGCUAAUAUCUAGUAGUACCCUUUUAAUUAAUUAUUUGUAAUUUAUUAUAAUUAGGCAUAUUAUAUUAGGUACUAACAUAAUGGUUCAAUAUUGUAAUCCAUUAUAGUUCUUUAAUUAAUGUCCACCACCUACCUACUACUUUUUUGUUUACAAAGCACAUCUACACUUAUCAACUCUCUUCAUCCUCACAACCUGUCAAGCAGGUCCUUCUGUUUUUCAGAUGGGGAAAUCCAAGCUCUGAUAGGUUGAGUAAUUUGUCAAAGGUCACACAGCUCAUAAGUGGCAAAGCCAGAAUUCAAACUCAGGGUCUUUUGUCAUUGUGGGGCAUUCAUUUCCUAUUGGAGUGGAUCAUUCUGGGUGGGACAUUUUAGACAGUUUGGAGCCUGACAUGAAGGUAUAGAGGAGAGGAGAGAGGCAUUAGGGGUGUGAUCAAGAGAAAUGGGGUGAAGUUGGGCAACUCAGAGAUCAAAGGCUGAGGGUAGGGACAGCUCUAAACCUAUUCCAGGGUGUGGUUUAGCUCCCUGUGGAGACAUGAAGGGCCUAUGCCACAGGAGGUCGACCUAGAGACUGACAUUUGGGAUCGGUGCUGGUGGUAGGAGGGCCAGCUAGAAGGCAGCAGCGGGCACCACAGGCCUCGGUGGAUGAGUAGACAUGCCCACAUUUUCCUGGAUAAAGUGCACGGGUGCUGGCAUCACUGUCCACUGGCCAUGUGACCUCAGCAAGUGACUUCAACCCCUGGAACUUGGUUUCCUUCUGCACAAUGAAAGCUGCAAUGAGAGAAGUCAGAGGGUCUUCACCUCCAGAGCCCUUAGCACAGGAGCACUCGGGGCUCCAUGGUUGGUCUUCCUAUCAGGUACCAGUAUUCUAUUCCACUUCCAGCCCCUUCACCUUCCACCCUGAAAUAUGACCCAGCACUCCCUAGACCACACCCCUAGGUCUGAGGUUCAGAAAGAAUAGUCACCAUGUGUAUACAUUUGGUCUUAUUUAUUUACUGAGGACCUACUGAACGCUAACCUUGAGCUGGGCUUAGCGAACAUAGUGCACAGUGUCAGUUACUCAAGCUUGGGAAGCAAGUAAAUAGACUAUUGCAGUUCAAUAUGCUGAGGGCACUAUGCAGGUAGACAUUCAGGGCACAGUGGGAGCAGGAGGAAGGGGCCCCUGAUGCUGCCAAGAGUAGGUGGCCCUAUGCUCCUCUGCAGCGGUGAUGCUGAAAAGGAGAGGUCAAUGGAGGAGAACUGGCAUCUGCUUUGUAUCAUGCUAUCUUUUCUAUCCAUUUCUCAGUCAGGCAGUGAAAUGUCAUUAUUAUAUCCUCCUCAUUCUCACUUUACAGAUGAAGACACUGAGGCUCAGAGAGGUGAGUGAACUUGCUCAAAGUCACACAGCCAAGAAGCUGUGGUGCAUCUACUUCCAAAGCUGCCAAGGUUGGGUAGGUGGGCCAAGGAAGAGCCCGAGGAUAGUGUGAGGAAGCAGGAGCUCAAUCCUAGCAGCCCAGAAACAGCAUCCUCGCCAGGCCAGCCAAAGCCACUGGCAGCCGUGCUUUACAAGGCGCGGGGCUGGCCUGAGAUAUUUUGCCUCACAAAUGCACGCUGGCUCAUCUGGGGUGAGUUUGCGCCUUUAUGAGUGUUCUUCAAAAGCCCGGCUCGGCUCCAUGGCUGUCACCAUGGAAACGGCUCUGGGUGGCUGAAACCGACCGCCCUCCGUGACCACGCGUGAAGGCUGCCAGGUGCUGGGGCCAGGGCCACGCUGAGUGGGGCACCCGUAGAGGCCUUUCGUGAGACACUUAAGGACAAGGAGGUGGGGGUUUAAAUCCAGGUCCCAUGUAAAGUGAAAAGAUGAAGUCCCUUUCAUUGGCAUCAGAGCCCCAUGGGCUGGGGGCUCCUCUCUCAGCACCCUGUGUGCCUUUCCCCAGCCCUCCACCCUCGGGAUCUGGAUAGGCUAAAACCAGGCAGUGUGGGGGAGGAGGGACUGGAUUUGAAUCCUAGAGACUGGCUGCACACCCACACUCCCUAAAACUCUCACCCCAAAAUCCCAUUUUGUAAUUGCAGAAACCAAGGCCCAGAGAGAAGUGAUUUGCCCAAGGUCACCCAUCAAAGUGGAGGCCAGAUAAAGCCUUUUUGCCCCCUGCUCUGAGUCCAGUGCUCAUUCCAGGCCACCAUGAAGCUGCUCAGUCAGACCCGAGGUGUGACUGGGCUCCACUUCAGGCCAAGGCCAGGGUGUAGCCAGGCCACAUUCGGAGGAGGACUUGCCGGCUACGAAGACGGCCUGAGCUUCAUGUUGGCCCCCAGCCUUUCUUGGCUUUCAAUUUUGGUCCAACUCUCAGGGGCUGUUCAAAGAUUCCAAAGGCAUUUGAACAUUUUGGAAGCAAUUUGUCAGUCCUGGAAGCUGUUUGGAGGCUCCAAAAACGAUUUAAAUGUUCCAGAAUCUGUUGGCUUUGCAAAGGCUGUUGUUCAUGGUUUCCAGAGUGGUUUGAGGUCCCAGGUGAAGAUCCCCAAGGAGGUGUGGGGGUACGGGGCCAGAGCAUGCCGACAGCUCUGGGUGGCACUGGAGGCGGAGCUCCGGGCAGCGAGUGCUCCCUGCUUUCUCCUAGGACUCGGCCUGUGAAGCCAUCAAGUCCAUCAGGGCAUCUGCUAUUCCGAGGAGCAGAAGAUGUAUGGGCGUUGGCAGCAAAGGGAACCCAGCUUUACCAUUCACAGGCUAUGUGACCCGAGGCCAAUUACUUAACCUCUUCAGGCCCCCUUUACCUCCUUCUGUAAAAUGGGGGUAAUAGCAACUCUUCUGCAAACCUGGCCACCUCCCCCCACCCCCACCACCUCAGCUCAGGUGUUCGUGGGAUUAGUCAGAGAACACAUCCCUCCAUGGCUGAUUAACAACUUCUCAACUGCUCCUGGGAGUGGAUUUGGGGGUCUCUAUCCAGGGUGGAAGCCUAACCUACAGUAAUUGGCCUGCCAGCCCUCCUCAGACAAGCUCUCCCUGACCCUGAGUCCCAUCCCUACCAUGUCCUGUCAUGAGGGAGGAGCCAUGGGCUGGUCUGAAGGCCCUGGUUAACCAGAAAGCCCAUACCUGCACAUGCCCCCAUGGUCAUAGUACUGUCAUAGUACUGGUCCUGCCCUUUCUGGUCAUAGUACUGUCCUGCCUUUUGCCUUUUUCAUAUUCCACUACCAUUCCCCAUAUUCCUCCCUCCAGCCUCAUCAUUGGCUCAACUACCCUAUCCAUACCCACCUGUACCUUAUGUCUUGAAUUUGCCAUUCCCUCCAUCUGGAAUGCCUAUUCCCACUCUGACACAUGUACAUGUGCAUGCACGUGUGCACACACAUGCACACCAUAGCCUUCCUGGAUCCCCUUGACCUCUAGCCCCCACUGCCUUGCUCAUGUCACUGACCAGAGUGGUACAGUCCACUAUCUAGGUCUGUUAGCUCCUAGGCUGAAACUCUUGCUACCUAGUGACUCCCCACAAUACCAGUAUGGGAUGGUCAUAGGUGUAGUCAGACAGACCUAAGGCCUGGCUGGGCCUCUUAUCUGCAGUGUGGCCUUGGGCAGGCUCAUAGCUAGACCUCCUGAGCCUCAGUUUCCCCCCCUCUAUAAAGUAAAAAUGAUAAGCCAUGCUCCGCCUGACUCCCAGAGUGGUUGAGGGUCAAAUAAGGUGAUGAUAAGAACAAGGCAUACAAACUCCAAAGUGAUGAGGCCUGUGGUGGCUGAGUGAUUUACCUAAGGUCAUCUGGGAAGUUGGCACCAAACCAGGACCUCAGUUCAAGGCUCCUGUGAGGGCACUGAUGAGGGCUUCAACCCGUGGAGCCCCGGACCAUACUAGAGACCUGUCUGGGAAGUUUUGCUUUACUGCAACUCCCUGACCCACUUGCGGAGCUGCAGGCUGGCAGGCUGGCUGCCAGCUGAGGUGAUCUACUGGCAGCUGACUGAUGCGCUAAAUGCAUCGUGCCUUCUGGAAGACAGGAAGAUCGAUACUGUAGGUGGGCAGCUUCCCUCAAUGCCACAGUCAACCCCCAAGGGUGGGAAUGGGCCAAGAAUAAAUACAGCCAGGCCCGCUCCCUCCACAGGGUCAGUCCCGGCCAGGCCGGAAUGAUGUAGAUUUGAUGGGGCCACCUGUGGCAUUAUCAUUGUCAUCAUCAUCAUACCAAGCAACAUUAUUGUGCCACUCACUGUUCUAAGUUUGUUGUUGGUUUGUUUUUAACAUAUGUUAACUCUUUGGAACCUUGCAAACACCCUGUGAGGCAGGUGCUGAUAUUAUCCCCAUUUUACAGAUGAAAUGUGCUACAGAGAGGAUUAAUGACUCGCCCAGGGUCUCACAGCUAGAAAGUAUCCCGGCCAGGAUCAGAGCCCAUGCAAUUGCUAGAAUAUUCUGCUGCUUUUUCAGUUAUACAGAAGAUUGUGGCCACCCACCCCACACACAACCACGGGCUCCUUCCUACUCAUAAUGCCCACUCAGGGCCUUGUCUCCAGCCCUCUCUGUGCUCUGCUCGUGGGGCUUUGGCUCUUGAGCUAUUAUUAUCAGGGCUUAGAAUGUGCUUGAUCCAGGUGCUCCUUGACAGGACGGGGGAAGCACCUCCCCAGAAGGUACUCAUGCUUAGCCUCAUCCUGCUAGAGCUCAGAACGAGCAGGGUCAAGGUGGGCCUGGUGCCCAUGGUCACUCUGGGCAUGGGAAACCGCCCUCUCCCCACCCUCUUCCUGGCUGGCUUGAAUUCUCAGGAGCCUAAACUCUGGACUGGAGUGGUCUCAUUCUCACUGCCCAUCUGCCAAAGGAUGGCAUACCCGUAGCCACAGAUGGGCCGGCCUGAGGUUUUGUCUACCCCAUCCCUCACCGGAGAAACCCAGCCUCAAACUUCCUGGGGUUAGAGUGGGAGUGGGGACAGAUGGUCAGGGCACAAGAUGUGGAGCUGCUGAGUGUCGAGGGCCCAGCCCUUUGAUCUUCUCCCUAAAGGGCAGCUCGAGUGGUAGGAAAUGUGUGGGCUUUGGGUUAAACCCAUCUGGGCCCCUCCUGGCUGUGUGACCUUGGAUAAGACACUUAACCUCUCUGAGCCUCAGUCUAUCACCUCCCUUUUACCUUUCUCUGAUCCAGGUGGCCUGUCUGCAUUCAAGGUCAUUGUGCUCAUCUCUUCAAUCCCUCAAGUCCAGUAUACCUGGCCAGCCCCCCAUGGUCUGUUCCCUCAGUCUCACCCCCAAGUCAUCCUCCAGUCCUCCUUCACCCUUGUGCCUGCCAUGCAGCAGACACCAAUCCUGUUUAAUUUCCCUCCUAAAUAUCUGAGAAGUCAUCUCUUCUUCAGGCCACCCUACUUCCCUGUCUUGGUCCAAGCCUUGUCGUCUCUCUUCUGGGUUUGUGCAGCAGCCUCCUGACUGUUCCCCGCCUUCCCCCUUUUCCAUCAAUCCAUUCCCCUCUGGCAGUUCCACUACCAUCUUUCUAAAAUGGAAAUCUGGCCAUGGUAUGUGUCUACCUAAGACACAUUCUGAUUGCACACGAGACAAACCUCAAACUCCAUCCCAUCCUAUGAGGCAGGCCCAUCGCCGUUGGGCCCCGGCCUCUUCUUCCCUUAGCACCCCUCGGCCUCCAGCCGCCCUUCGGCUUGCAUGUGCUUGCGUGGUCCUACCUCUAAGCCUGCGUACAUGCUGUUCUUGGGGCCUAGAAUUCCCUUCUUUCUUCAUCCUCCUCCUCACCAUCUGUCUAACAUCCAUUAAUCCUUCAGGUCUCGGUUUUGGUGUCAUCUUCGGAAACCCUUCCUUAACCACCACUCCCCAAGACUGGAAUAUCGGCCACCCUGAGCUCCUCACACACCCUGUCCCAGCAGCUGUCCCUCUGAAUAGUCAUUGUCUAUUAACACGUCUCCCAACCCACUAGGUGGGGUCUCCAUGCCCAAGCUCAGAAAUGGCCCCAGUAAGUGAGAGCGAAUGUCCCUUUCACCCCACUCCAGCUCCUCCUGACUCAGGGUAAAUCUCACUUCCCAACUCACCAGACAGCUAGUCAAGUUCGAGUCCCAGCUUUCCCAGGGCUGCACAGUGAGACUGCAGGCCAGUGCCUCCCCGUCUCUGUGCCUUAGCCGCCAAGCAAUAAGUCAAGACUGACCUAGAUAACUUCGCAGGGCCCUAUUAGCCCUUUAGUUCCACGGCUUGAACUCCCAGAAGAUUCCUUGCUCGCUGCUGGCCUUUGUAUCUUUGAAACCCCGUCUCCAGCCACCACUUCUCACAACCUCUGUUUGGGCCUCUCUGGUGACACUUUCUCUCCCUUUCUGCCUCCAGAUUUACUGUGAAGACUGAGGCCCCCUUUAUACAACUCCAGAUCCAGGUCGAAGGGCAGGCCCAGAGCCUCCCCAGUCCCCCUACCCAUCCUCCUGUCAGGGGACCCACCAUCUGCACAGCCCCAGUAGAGCCAUUAACUCACCAUGAGUCAAACGAAGCUAUAAAUAAGUAAAAGGGCGAGGGCCCCAAGGGGGCUUGACCUCAGCUGGCUGCCCCGUCUCUGGCCAGAUCUGGGGUCUCGACUGCCCCAGGAUGGACUCAGCCUGACAGAUCUUGACGUGUCAUCACUGUCCCCAGAGAGUGAUGGGUAAAUCACCAGGCCUCUCUGGCCCCCAUUAGUGUCAGUAAUUGCCAAUCAAUUUCCUGGGAUCCUGGUGGGGAGGAGGCCUCUGGGUGUCUCUGGUGGGGAAACCAGUCUAAUGACUUUUAUUUGGAUUGCUGCAAAUUGAUUGUUUUUUUUUUUUAAUGGAGCCUUGGUUUUCCUCCUUGCAUCCUAACCACCCCCUCAGGGGCAGUUAGGCCAAAAGAUGAGUGAUAGCAUGACUUUACUCUCCAGAAGAGCUGAGACCAGGCUGCGUAUACCCACAGCAGUCCUGUAUUCUCUAUUCAACAAUUUCCGAAGUGACAAGCCACAGCACUCAUUUGUCCAGCAGUAACCCCACCCUAGGCCCUUCCUGAGGUUACCAGGUUGAAACCUCGCAGCAACCCUAAUGUGAUGUGCAUCAACAGCCAUAGGGAAAAAAAAUGAGAAACAAUGAGGCAGGCUCAAAAAGGUGGCAAGGCUUGGCUAAGAUCACACAACUAGUAAAUGGUAAAGUUGAAAUUUGAACCCAGCUCUUUCUGGCAUCAAAGCUUUGGUCUUCCCAUUCUUACAUGUACCUCCCAAAGUGUCAUAUAUAUAAAGUGACGAUGAUUCCCCUAAAAGCCAGAAAACUGUAGGAGUCACAGCUUUCACAGAGCUCCCAGGGAAGAGAUUAGCUGAUGAUAAUAAUAAUAAUGGCAACAAUAGCUAUUAUUUACUGAGCCCUUUAUUAUGAAUCAGAGACUGUGUCAAUAGCUUUACAUCUAUAUUUCAUUUCCUCCUUAGAACUAUGCUGGGUAGUAGACAUUAUUAUAACCAUUCCACAGAUUGGGAAACUGAGACUCAAAAGUUAAGUGACUCGCAUAAGAUUGCUCAGAUUGUUAGUGGUAGAACUGGAUUCAAACUAGGUAUAUUUGAAUCCACAGCAUGUGUUUUUAAUCAUCUGUUCCUGAUGGUAUUGCAAGUGACAGAAAACCAAAUGACAAUGACUUAAACAAGAUAAGAGUUUAGUCCCCUCUCAACUAAAUGAAGUCCAGAUGUAAGAAGUCCAAAGCUGAUAUUGAGGCUUCACAAACACAAAGGUCCGAGGCUCCUUCUAUCUUAGUCUCACGAUCUAAGUUGGCUUCUAGAGCUCCAGCCAUCACAUCCACAUUCCAGCCAGCAAGAAAGAGGAAAGGAUAAAGAUAGACAUGCGCCUUUCUUUUAAGGCCACGUCCCAAAAAUUACACCUACCGUUUUUGCUGACAUCUCCUCGGCCAGAACUAAAUCACAUGAUGAUAUCCAUCUGCAAGACAAACAGGAAAUGCAGACUUCAUUCAAGGAGGCCAUAUACCCAGCCUAACAUCAGGGGCUAUUAUUAAGGGAUGAGGAGAGGUCAGAUAUUGGGAUAAUCAUCAGUGACUUCUAUUAGCAUCACUCUAAAAUGACCCUCUAGAUGUAUAGACAGAAUUUUACAAUGCAGUCUGGUGAGUCACCAAGCCCAGCUUCCUGGUAUCCAGAAGAGGAGCUUGAGGCCCAGAGAGGGGAAAUAACUUGCCCAGGAUUGAACAGAAAGUUGGGGCAGAGCCAAGUUCAGAAGCUUGUCUUAGUAAUAAAACCCAAGCUCUUGGCACAACAUCCUCUGUCCCUCCAAUAUUCUGGGACUUUUUCUGGUUCUUGGAUUAUUCCUCUCACUUUUCCAUUUUCCUCUCUCCCUUUCUUGGGCCUUGGGUUAGUGGCACUUUGGAUGCUGCUUUUAGCCCCUGGGUUGAGUAACGGAAGUCUUUAUUCUGUUCCUAACAUCUAUACUAAAGGUGUCUGACCUUGGCCCUUGCUAUUCUGAUCUGAGGAUCUUGAAGGUCUUUUCUGCUCUGACAGUCAGUUUAUGAGGUACUCGGAAGCUAAGGGCAGCUUUUGCUUAGCAAAUGUAACCCUAGUGCUAAUAGAAGUUCAUAUUCUUCUGCCUAUGAGGCUCUAAGGCAGUACUUGUGAGAGGGGAGGACACUGUGGAAGGGGCAAUGGAUCAUGGAUGAGGAGUAAUGGAUAACAUCCUUGGAUGAAGCUGGGAGAAAAGAAUAAUAUUUGUUAGGCAUUUACGAUGUACCAGUUACCAUACUACAAUAAAUGUAAAUAGACUAUA